This is a long non-coding RNA of Mizuhopecten yessoensis (Yesso scallop), 186 nucleotides long. RefSeq lists it as uncharacterized. Lineage: Eukaryota; Metazoa; Mollusca; Bivalvia; Pectinida; Pectinidae. The transcript has 3 exons. The record is from RefSeq and is a predicted model, not a curated record.
CACUGCCUAUCUGAAGUAUCUGUUUCCACAUUUUGUAAAAGAAGAAAUUUACAGGUAUUUCUACACCAGUUUUGGACAACAUUGGUCUGUUGGUAACUAUUGGCAUGAUCCACAUCAUGAAGAACUAUACAGAAACCAGUCUAUGUUCCUGGCACUGCUGGACAAUGAUACAAACUCGGCACACGA